This 61-nucleotide transfer RNA is filed under the name Physosmaragdina sp. N56. RNAcentral describes it as "tRNA-Pro". The record is from RNAcentral. Lineage: Eukaryota; Metazoa; Arthropoda; Insecta; Coleoptera; Chrysomelidae.
CAGAGAAUAGUUUAUUAAAAUAUUAAUUUUGGAGAUUAAUGAUAAGAUUAGUCUUUUCUCU